This 500-nucleotide ribosomal RNA is filed under the name uncultured bacterium. Its description in RNAcentral is "partial 16S ribosomal RNA". It matches the Rfam family "Bacterial small subunit ribosomal RNA", at positions 30 to 523 of the family's 1533-position model. The record is from RNAcentral.
AUUGAACGCUGGCGGCAUGCCUUACACAUGCAAGUCGAACGGCAGCACGGGAGCAAUCCUGGUGGCGAGUGGCGAACGGGUGAGUAAUGUAUCGGAACGUGCCCAGUCGUGGGGGAUAACGUAGCGAAAGUUACGCUAAUACCGCAUACGAUCUAUGGAUGAAAGCAGGGGAUCGCAAGAACUCUCGCGAUUGGAGGGGCCGAUAUCAGAUUAGGUAGUUGGUGGGGUAAAGGCUUACCAAGCCUACGAUCUGUAGCUGGUCUGAGAGGACGACCAGCCACACUGGGACUGAGACACGGCCCAGACUCCUACGGGAGGCAGCAGUGGGGAAUUUUGGACAAUGGGCGAAAGCCUGAUCCAGCCAUGCCGCGUGCAGGAUGAAGGCCUUCGGGUUGUAAACUGCUUUUGUACGGGACGAAACGGCCUUUUCUAAUACAGGAGGCUAAUGACGGUACCGUAAGAAUAAGCACCGGCUAACUACGUGCCAGCCGCCGCAGUAA